Molecule: long non-coding RNA, 365 nt
Filed under: Ananas comosus (pineapple)
Lineage: Eukaryota; Viridiplantae; Streptophyta; Magnoliopsida; Poales; Bromeliaceae
Description: long non-coding RNA (ACOM_LNC005062)
Source: RNAcentral
CCUCUUCCUCUUCCCAUGAUGGAUCCUUUCCCUCGGCGCCACUUCUUCUUUCACUGUUUUCUCAUCCAUUUUAGUCGUUUUCGUUGCCGGAAUCAAAUGAUGGAUCUCUUUCCCCACUGCGGCUUCUUUCAUCGUCGUUUCGUCUUUCUUCGUCGCCGCUUUCGAUUUUGUAUUAAUCCAUCAUGGGUUGAACAUUUUGCAGCGCUGCUUCCUAUAUCCUCAUGCCUAUCGAUUUGGCUAUAUAAUAGCACAUCUAACAUCCACUUUUAUCUACAUCUAAUAACCAUAACCUUUUUCUCCUAUAAGCUGUAAAAUUUUUAUUCUAUUUUUAUUUUUUAAUGUCACACCCCAAUAAUCCCACAUUG